UAGGGAAUAUUCCACAAUGAGCGAAAGCUUGAUGGAGCGACACAGCGUGCAGGAUGAAGGUCUUCGGAUCGUAAACUGCUGUUAUAAGGGAAGAAACACUUUGCUAGGAAAUGAGUAAAGCUUGACGGUACCUUAUCAGAAAGCACCGGCAAACUAUGUG
Molecule: ribosomal RNA, 160 nt
Filed under: uncultured bacterium
Lineage: Bacteria
Description: partial 16S ribosomal RNA
Rfam family: Bacterial small subunit ribosomal RNA
Source: RNAcentral